RNAcentral lists this unclassified non-coding RNA (356 nucleotides) under soil metagenome. Its description in RNAcentral is "partial contains 5.8S ribosomal RNA, internal transcribed spacer 2, and large subunit ribosomal RNA". The stretch from base 1 to 121 matches the Rfam family "5.8S ribosomal RNA", at positions 35 to 154 of the family's 154-position model. The record is from RNAcentral.
GAUGAAGAACGUAGCGAAAUGCGAUAAGUAAUGCGAAUUGCAGAAUUCCAGUGAGUCAUCGAAUCUUUGAACGCACAUUGCGCCCGCCAGUAUUCUGGCGGGCAUGCCUGUCCGAGCGUCAUUUCAACCCUCGAACCCCUCCGGGGGGUCGGCGUUGGGGAUCGGCCCUGCCUCUUGGCGGUGGCCGUCUCCGAAAUACAGUGGCGGUCUCGCCGCAGCCUCUCCUGCGCAGUAGUUUGCACACUCGCAUCGGGAGCGCGGCGCGUCCACAGCCGUUAAACACCCAACUUCUGAAAUGUUGACCUCGGAUCAGGUAGGAAUACCCGCUGAACUUAAGCAUAUCAAUAAGCGGAGGA